CGGAGUGUAGCGCAGCCCGGUAGCGCACUUGACUGGGGGUCAAGGGGUCGUCGGUUCGAAUCCGGCCACUCCGACCA
RNAcentral lists this transfer RNA (77 nucleotides) under Mesorhizobium loti. RNAcentral describes it as "tRNA-Pro". It matches the Rfam family "tRNA". Rfam says of the family: Transfer RNA (tRNA) molecules are approximately 80 nucleotides in length. The record is from RNAcentral. Lineage: Bacteria; Pseudomonadati; Pseudomonadota; Alphaproteobacteria; Hyphomicrobiales; Phyllobacteriaceae. RNAcentral also lists the same sequence under 1069 other names.